AGCUGGCCGCCGCCGGGUGCUGCCCUCCUGGGGCCUGGGCGCGCCGCGCCCGAGCGCAGAACUAAGGGCGGCUUCGCGGCCCUGGGACGCCUAGGUUCAGAGCUCCCGGGGCUGCCGGGGAGCUGAGCCCCGGCAGAGCAACAGGGAAAGCCGAGGAUCCCAGUCCGCGACUGAGCCGGGUCCCCGUCGUCCGCCGCCACUGCUGGUCAGAAUUCAGGUGGCCGGUCCUACUGCUCUGAGAUCUCGACCUGGGGAGGUCACUGGAGCUAGGGUCCCGCAGGGACCUUUCUACAACAGGAUAUGGGAACACCUGGGCCCGCUAGCACACAGGGGACCUCGUACUCUAGCUUUCAACCCGAGGGCCUCGCUCCUAGACUGAAGUGGAUCCCCCAUCAAGACCUGUAGUGUGCCACCUCUGUCCCGUCCUGGUCAUAUAUGUGUGCUCACAGCCCUCGUUUGCCAUAAAACACCCUUCCUGGUGCUCCAGGGAUUAAGCUGUUAACUUUCCCUGACCUUGAACGCGAGUUUCUGAUGGGGCUUUGCUAAUCCCCGUGCUAUUUGUAACCUGCCCCGUGACACUUGACAAGUAUCCAACUGUGCUAAUUUCCACACCAGAGGUCAGUCAGACCGCGCUGUGAGAAGUGAGUCAAGCGUGCUCUGGACCCGAACACGGAGGCGCCCAGAGCUCUGGGGACUUUCCCACUCAUGCCUUUCCUCCCUAACUUCCUGUCUCCUUGAAAGCCCACCCAUUCUAACUCUAUAGUUGAGUUAGCUAAGAAGAGCAUUCAGCACCCAGAUUCCUCUGCGGAGUUCCUGCCUUAUACCUGCAGCCCAUGGCUCCCUGCUGUGUGUCUCCAGCUCCCUGGAGAAGGUUGGGGUCAUAAGUGGGUGGGGAUCUAGCAAUCCUGUUGAUUCAGUGAAGGAACUGAAGCCCAGAGGUGAACUGGCCACUGCAUCUGCUUGCUCGGGGGCAAGCAGCCAGAUGUGCUGAAACCUCAUCGUUCUUCCCUGAGCUCGCCUGUCACCCAGAGAACCCACACGCCGUGAACUUGGAGAAUGCUUUUAUUACAUGGUCUUGUGAUGCCAGGGAGGGACCUGAACAGAUCAAUAAAAGAACUAUCCCAAGGAC
Peromyscus maniculatus bairdii (prairie deer mouse) is the source of this 1129-nucleotide non-coding RNA. Lineage: Eukaryota; Metazoa; Chordata; Mammalia; Rodentia; Cricetidae. The record is from RefSeq and is a predicted model, not a curated record.